UACGUAGGGUGCAAGCGUUGCCCGGAUUUAUUGGGCGUAAAGGGCGCGUAGGCGGCUCUGCACGUUCGUUGUGAAAUCGCCCGGCUCAACUGGGCGGGGUCAGCGGAUACGGCAGAGCUUGAGCAAGCUAGGGGGCAAUGGAAUUCCCGGUGUAGUGGUGAAAUGCGUAGAGAUCGGGAGGAACACCAGUGGCGAAGGCGACUACCUGGACCAGCACUGACACUGAGGCACGAAAGCGUGGGGAGCAAACAGG
This 253-nucleotide ribosomal RNA is filed under the name uncultured bacterium. RNAcentral describes it as "partial 16S ribosomal RNA". It matches the Rfam family "Bacterial small subunit ribosomal RNA", at positions 524 to 776 of the family's 1533-position model. The record is from RNAcentral.